This 252-nucleotide ribosomal RNA is filed under the name uncultured bacterium. RNAcentral's name for it is "partial 16S ribosomal RNA". It matches the Rfam family "Bacterial small subunit ribosomal RNA", at positions 524 to 776 of the family's 1533-position model. The record is from RNAcentral.
UACGGAGGAUGCGAGCGUUAUCCGGAUUUAUUGGGUUUAAAGGGUACGUAGGCGGGCUUUUAAGUCAGCGGUAAAAAUUCGGGGCUCAACCCCGUCCGGCCGUUGAAACUGGGGGCCUUGAGUGGGCGAGAAGAAGGCGGAAUGCGUGGUGUAGCGGUGAAAUGCAUAGAUAUCACGCAGAACCCCGAUUGCGAAGGCAGCCUUCCGGCGCCCUACUGACGCUGAGGCACGAAAGUGCGGGGAUCGAACAGG